Ovis aries (sheep) is the source of this 73-nucleotide non-coding RNA. The record is from Rfam. Lineage: Eukaryota; Metazoa; Chordata; Mammalia; Artiodactyla; Bovidae.
UCCCUCAUAGCUCAGUUGGUAAAGAAUCUGCCUGCAAUGCAGGAAACCCCGGUUCAAUUCCUGGGUUGGGGGG